CUCUCCGCCUCCCACCCGGGGGCGCGCGUAACGCCCAACGGGGAGCGCUGACGGCAGCCACGGGCACGGGCCAGGCCCCGCGCCGGUUCAGCCCCGCCCCGCCCCGCCGCGCUUCCUCCUGCUCGGCUCUGCCGGCCGCUGCCCCACGGGCGUGGGGGGGAGCGGAGGGAGGAGGGCGGCGUUCGAUCGGCUGGGUGGCUGGGAAAGAAAGGCAGGCUCACGCGCGGCAGGUCACCUUGGCAUCAUAGAGCACUUUGGCUUUGGUGGGGUCGGGCUCGAAGCAGAGAACUCUCUCCCCUCGGUGGAACUUAAAUUUCAUUCCCCGCGAGGUCAUUUGUUCAUCAUGGCGCAAAGGAGAUGAGCCCCGCCCCCACCGCGGGGGUGGCGCCGCCGGCAGCCCCGCCCCUGGCGGCCACUGGCGCUCAGGGCGAAGGCGGGCGGGCAGGGGAGGGAAGGCAGAUUAGAGUAGGUUAGGGUCUUGUUCACCGUCUUUGCUUCAGCCCUCCACGGGGUGAGAUGCAGCAGGGUACGGCUGCUGCGGAGUCGAGCUGCUGCCUUUGCCCGCCCUGCUGCCGCCGGUCACGCGGGGUGUGUGUCAUGGGCUGCUGGGAGCAGGCCGCGGCAGAGGCAGUGGUGCGGGGACACUUCCCUCCGGGCGGAGUGGCGGCUGUCAGCCCUGGGCCGGAGAAACAGCGCUGGGCCCUGGCAAGUGACCCGGCUUUUGCUGGUACUCGUCGACCCCUCCAUCGUGGUCCUGCGCUGGGUGUACGCCCUGUGCUGGAGAGCGUAACUGCACCCUGAGAACAGCACCGCCUAUUUUCUCCGGUACGGCGUCCCCUAAGCUUCACCGCACCUCUCCCGUUCAUUGCCGUGUUUCUUGUGUUCUCUGAGCAAAGAACGGCUCCGUAGUCUCAAGGUGGCUACUUGAUAAACUUGCUGAAGGUCUGUUUUCUCUAGUGUUCUUUGAGCCUGCCUACAAAAAUAGGCAUGGAGUGUUGCACUUGAAGCUCAAAUCAGUUAGGGUUCGAUUUUGCUUUCAAGUGCAAGCUCCUUUUGUCUCAAACACGACGAAAAUAGUGGUAAUAAUGAAAAAAACAAUUUGCAUUUUCUUGUUAAUGCACUUCAUGCUGACUGAUGCUUGGAAAAGACUGGAGUUCAGUCAGGGGAAUACUGCAGUUUCCUACACAGUGUUAGUAGAUGCUCCUUCAAGCCAUGAGAGUUUCAGUGCCAGUUCAGCAUUUCUGAUCUACUACAGACCGUGACAGACCCAGGAGGCCUGUGCUUAGCAAGCCUUGUAUAAAGACUUGAUCAUUUGUGAUUAUUUAGCAUUUCUGAAAGUCGGAUUUUUGUAAAAGCUUUUCAGGAGGUGAAUGACUCUAAACGAAAACAACUGUACAAGUGAGCAGACAGUAGUCCUCUGCUUAUGGGAAAAGAAGUUUAUGUCCCCUUUCCAGUCCUUGCGGCUGAUAGCAAAGAUGGAAACUGGCAAGACUGCCCUAGGGUAGAAGAGAGCUGGAAGUGUAUUACCAGAUGUUUCUGAAGGGAAAACGUGGCAAGGCAUACACAGAAAAUGACAUUUCAAGAGGAUGACUGCUCCCUGAGGACACAUGGUUGUUCUCAGAACAACACCUUCCCCUUAAAGCUCUACAGUGUGCUAGAACUCAUUUCUCCAGCCAGAGGGACACUCUGUGUAAUAAUUUCUGUGUUAUGAAAACAUACCAUCUACUAAAAGUUGAGAGAAGAGAUUUUGUAUUGGAUGUGAACUUUCCCCUGAUGCCCUGGAAAUACUAAUGCAGCAACUCUGCACUGAGACAUUGGAAAGGAAGUGGCCUCAGAAUUAAAGAAAGAGCAACAAGCACCAAAAAAGGUAGAAGUAGUUGAAAUAGUUCAAGUUUACAAACAUGUAAGAUUAUGUAAACAUGUUUCUUGCUUUUUAAAUCUCAGCUGCUGUUUAGCUGAUUGCCCAGUAAAGUGCCAAAUGGCAAAAAUAUCAACUGUUCUGGGAAAACAAAAUACAGCUCAAAUAAGCAAACAAGAUUUAAAACCUAAACAAACAAAAGAGUGUUCUGGACCCAGAAAAUGUAUAAUAGAUAAAAAUGCAUGUGAUGUAUGUGCUGUAUUGGGCUAAUGUAGGCUAAACUUCACAGCAGCAUAAAAGCAGAAUCAGAGUAUCAAAACAAGAGGAGGUCUGUAAUUUCUCUAGCAGAGUUCUCAGGAACAUAAUCUCUUUAUAACUGCCAGAAGCAUUCCAAAAUAUUAUCAAUUGCUGCAGUCCCUGUUCCACAUAUAACCUAAAAAAAAAAAAAGCUGGAUAACUUCACUAGGCAACAUUUCCACAAACAUCUACAGUGUUAGUACUGACUCACAUCUCUCCCCUGAAAGGUUGUAACAGUCCCAGGAUUUGGGGUUUGAUUUUAUCAGAGGAGUGGACAGAAGGACAUUGCCAAUGCCACUGGCUUCUCAAAAAAGCACACAAGCCUUGUGAGCAUCUGAGAAGUCUCCCACACAUGCUCCAUCAAGCCAUACUCAGAUGCAUAGUCAAUUUCUUCAUGCCAGACCAUACCAACUCAGCAGAACUACCUGAUAGGGGUGAAGGACUCAGUACAUGGAGAGUCUGGUCAAAGCUGCAUGAUCCCACAGCUGGCCCUCACUUGCUGUGUUCACCAGGUUUUUUUAGAGAAAAAGUUGUUGGUGAAAUGAUGAAAGGUGGGAAAGCAACAGUUAAAGCUAAAACUGGAAGUUGCAUUGAGUAACUGACUGAUUUCAACACAGCUCAGAAGUAAUUUUGCUCAACUGCAGAUGAGACAGGCUACA
Molecule: long non-coding RNA, 2814 nt
Organism: Pogoniulus pusillus (Red-fronted tinkerbird)
Lineage: Eukaryota; Metazoa; Chordata; Aves; Piciformes; Lybiidae
Exons: 3
Source: RefSeq, a predicted model, not a curated record